UGGGCAUGUUUUUGGAGCUAAUCUAACUU
This 29-nucleotide non-coding RNA is filed under the name Mus musculus (house mouse). Lineage: Eukaryota; Metazoa; Chordata; Mammalia; Rodentia; Muridae. The record is from RNAcentral.